Molecule: small RNA, 722 nt
Filed under: Cryptococcus neoformans H99
Lineage: Eukaryota; Fungi; Basidiomycota; Tremellomycetes; Tremellales; Cryptococcaceae
Description: Cryptococcus neoformans var. grubii H99 hypothetical RNA
Source: RNAcentral
CCCUUUUGCAACCUCCUUUCUUUCUAACAAUCCCCGCAACCUGAAAAGCUACCGCCGUUCCUUUCAUCAUCAUCUGAUUGAUUCAGUACUCGCAUUUCUUUUGAAUGACCGGCAACAAGAUGUUGAGAGGCUUUUUCGGUUCCUCAGAGAAAACAGCAAAGAAGAAGAAAAAGAGGGACAACAGCAGUAGUACAGAAGAUUCGACAUCCAGUCCGACUACAUCUGGGACCAGGACAUCUAAUUACAGUAAAUCGUCUACUUCAGAUUGCAGCGAAACUCCUAUAACCACAAGCAGUAGUGCGUCAAAGGAAAGCUUUGGGACUAGCACAUCGUACAGCUCCAGUUCAGACAGUCCAUCUGAAACCGAUUCGUUGUCGUCAUCCAGUGAUAGUAGUAGCUCGGAAGGGACAUCCUCCCGAGAGAGCACUUCGCCUGAAAGCACGCCACCAGCUGGAAUCAAUCGGUUCUUCUCCCAACAGAUGCAAAACGUCGCGGAUGCUUUGGCUGGCAAAAGAUGAGUAAAAGCAAAUGCGUUUGGCUCGUCAUCAUGCAUAAUCACCUUGUCCUUGUCAUCUUCAUAGUCUUGCUUUCCAAAAGCCUACUUUUCCCACCUCCUUGUCAUCCAGUUUGUCUUUCCAAUGGAGCCACCACUCCAUCCCUAACCCUCUAUGUUCAUCUCUAAGGUCUUGAAUGACCAUUUUAAACGCCUCUUCCAUCAAUAU